AGCCUGCCUGCUUGCUGUAGACACCGUGUCACACAGGCCCCCGCUCCGCCUGGAACCACAGCGCCACGUGCCUCAUGCAAGGGGAAGUGAAAGCUGAGAGAAGGUGUGGCUCUCGAGAACCUUGGCACUGCGUUAAUCCAAUUUCUGCAGUCCUGGAAGGAAGUGCUUGGUUCUCCGGGAACAGCCCUGCUGCCCUGGCCUCAGCUCCACCAGACCCUGAGAACCGCUUCUGAGCGGAGAUUGAGUCAGAAGAGAAAUCAGGGGGACAUUGACAAGAGAAGGACUUUAGAAUGUAAUUGAUGGCACCUGGAGGUUGUAAUU
Molecule: long non-coding RNA, 321 nt
Organism: Mustela erminea (ermine)
Lineage: Eukaryota; Metazoa; Chordata; Mammalia; Carnivora; Mustelidae
Exons: 3
Source: RefSeq, a predicted model, not a curated record